RNAcentral lists this ribosomal RNA (465 nucleotides) under Vreelandella stevensii. Its description in RNAcentral is "partial 16S ribosomal RNA". It matches the Rfam family "Bacterial small subunit ribosomal RNA", at positions 338 to 795 of the family's 1533-position model. The record is from RNAcentral. Lineage: Bacteria; Pseudomonadati; Pseudomonadota; Gammaproteobacteria; Oceanospirillales; Halomonadaceae.
CCUACGGGAGGCAGCAGUGGGGAAUAUUGGACAAUGGGGGGAACCCUGAUCCAGCCAUGCCGCGUGUGUGAAGAAGGCCCUCGGGUUGUAAAGCACUUUCAGUGAGGAAGAACGCCUGGUGGUUAAUACCCAUCAGGAAAGACAUCACUCACAGAAGAAGCACCGGCUAACUCCGUGCCAGCAGCCGCGGUAAUACGGAGGGUGCGAGCGUUAAUCGGAAUUACUGGGCGUAAAGCGCGCGUAGGUGGCUUGAUAAGCCGGUUGUGAAAGCCCCGGGCUCAACCUGGGAACGGCAUCCGGAACUGUCAAGCUAGGGUGCAGGAGAGGAAGGUAGAAUUCCCGGUGUAGCGGUGAAAUGCGUAGAGAUCGGGAGGAAUACCAGUGGCGAAGGCGGCCUUCUGGACUGAUACUGACACUGAGGUGCGAAAGCGUGGGUAGCAAACAGGAUUAGAUACCCCAGUAGUC